RNAcentral lists this long non-coding RNA (664 nucleotides) under Anser brachyrhynchus (Pink-footed goose). Its description in RNAcentral is "lncRNA (ENSABRG00000003564.1)". The record is from RNAcentral. Lineage: Eukaryota; Metazoa; Chordata; Aves; Anseriformes; Anatidae.
GGCUCUGGCCCUGGCCUGUGCUGGAAAGAGACGUCCCCAGGAGGCAGGAGCAGAAGGGACUGGGCUGGAGGAAAAGCACCCCAGGGAGAAGGAGGACUCUGCAAGCACCAGCACAGUGUCCCAGGGCUCUGUGCUUUGUGUGGUGCAAGCUACUUUUCUCGUUCUGCCCAAUCUCAAAAGCAGACUCACUGCAAGACAAGUUGGGUCUGGGGAACUGAGAAUGAGAAAUCAAAAAGCUCUCAUGGCUCAGGCUCAGAGGAGACUGGAGGAGACCAAAUGCCAGCAGCACUCAUUGGAAGUCGUCAUGAAGCUACCGAACACAAACUAAUGACUGACAAGGCUCAGUUACCCCAGUCACCAGGGAUGUCACCAACAGCCUCACUGCCUGAAUUGCACUCCCUUCUCCUCACCCUGUUACCUCUCUGCCUGGAGCCCAAGGAAGGAAGAGGAGGAAGGUGGAUAUUUAUGAGUGCAUCAGGAAGAUAAAAGAGAAGCUAGUAGCAAGAGCGCUAAAAUGCCAUUAGAAGUUUGACUCUUACAGCAGCUGCAGAAAGACGGUUAGGAGUACAAUAUAGAGGUCAAGACCUGUGAAGAAAAGGUGAGUACGUCCUCCAAGGAUAUUCCAGCACUCUGGGGACUGUCUGUGAAUAAAUCAGUCUAGCUU